GGGGAUUUGGCUCAGAGGUAGAGCGCUUGCCUAGGAAGCGCAAGGUCCUGGGUUCAAUCCCCAGCCCUG
This 69-nucleotide transfer RNA is filed under the name Rattus norvegicus (Norway rat). It matches the Rfam family "tRNA". Rfam says of the family: Transfer RNA (tRNA) molecules are approximately 80 nucleotides in length. Their secondary structure includes four short double-helical elements and three loops (D, anti-codon, and T loops). The record is from Rfam by way of RNAcentral. Lineage: Eukaryota; Metazoa; Chordata; Mammalia; Rodentia; Muridae.